RNAcentral lists this ribosomal RNA (427 nucleotides) under uncultured bacterium. RNAcentral's name for it is "partial 16S ribosomal RNA". It matches the Rfam family "Bacterial small subunit ribosomal RNA", at positions 354 to 796 of the family's 1533-position model. The record is from RNAcentral.
GUGGGGAAUAUUGGGCAAUGGGGGAAACCCUGACCCAGCGACGCCGCGUGAGGGAAGAAGGCCUUAGGGUCGUAAACCUCUGUUGUGUGGGAAGAAGAGCGUGACGGUACCACACGAGGAAGUCCCGGCUAACUACGUGCCAGCAGCCGCGGUAAUACGUAGGGGACGAGCGUUGUCCGGAUUUACUGGGCGUAAAGGGCGCGUAGGCGGUCAUUUAAGUCAGCUGUGAAAUGGUUUGGCUUAACCGGAUCAUGCGGUUGAAACUGGAUGACUGGAGUGCUGGGGAGGCAAGUGGAAUUCCCAGUGUAGCGGUGAAAUGCGUAGAUAUUGGGAAGAACACCGGUGGCGAAGGCGACUUGCUGGCCAGCAACUGACGCUGAGGCGCGAAAGCCAGGGGAGCAAACGGGAUUAGAAACCCGGGUAGUCC